This is a long non-coding RNA of Acinonyx jubatus (cheetah), 2344 nucleotides long. RefSeq lists it as uncharacterized. Lineage: Eukaryota; Metazoa; Chordata; Mammalia; Carnivora; Felidae. The transcript has 3 exons. The record is from RefSeq and is a predicted model, not a curated record.
CUUCGCUCCGCCCCGUCCCCGCUUCGCUCCGCCCCCACGCCCGGCCCAGAUCCUCCGGCGCGUCGGAGCCAAACCCGGCAGCCGAGGGGGUGGGGUCCCCACCCUCGGCCGCCAUUGGCUAUGAGUCCACGCCGCCGCGCCCCCUUGGCCAAUUGACGACAGCUGUGGGCUGGACCGCCCUGGUAGCGACCCGCCCCCAGCUCAGCGACGCGGCUCUCCAUUGGGCGAAGGAGGGUGACGCAAGGCUGCAGGCCACGUGGUAGUGUUUUCAUUGCCAGAGGUUGCGAAGCGGAAGUCCGGAAGAACCAGUGCAACUGAGGCCCGACCUGGUGGCCACCUUCUGUCAUCUGCGGUGGAGCUGCGGCUGAGGGGGCGGGCGGACGCGCUCCGUCCCACCCCACCCAGACCCCUGUGGCAUGUAGCUCUCCGUCUAUUAAACUUACAGAGGAUUUUGUAGAUCAAAGUUUAAGAAGAGCUGGACAAAAUAACGACUUCCUACCAUCAUAUUCUUUGAGUCUAAGGCAGAGAUACCGUGCCCCGCUAAAACGUCUUGCGUACCAAGUGGAACACAAUGUCUGGUCCGUGAAAGUGGUGAGAGACUAUAUUGCCAAAUAUUUUUUGAAAAUAUGCUGGAUGCUUCAUAGAAAUGAGGUUCUACGGAACACUACCGGAAAGGAGGCUGGUGCUUGUGCUGAGCCGCCUUCAGCAGCUCCACGUCCCACAUUGCUGAUGAGUGAGAGCCUCUGUUAUAAAUGGAAACGUGAACUGGCAAGUGCUCCCCGGCUAACGCUGAACCCACCAGCUUAUUUUGCUACCUAUUAUGUACGUGAUCUGCGAUUUUGCUUAUUGAUUGCAAACAUGCACGAGGAAUAGGAAGCUGGCGUGUUUUCCAAAAACGAGAUGGAGUGUUUUCGCUGCUGCGUGUCUCAACCGGGUAUGACUUCGACUUUUCAUCAUUUCUCUGAGGUCAGAAACAGCCUUGGGUGGGUUUCUAAUUUUUUUUUUUUUUUUUUUUUAUAUAGAAGUUUGGCUCCCGAGACUGUUUCAGAGCCUUUAGGAAAGAUAUCAAGUGGACGAGACAUGUCCGAAAAUAUUUAAAGUGGCGAUUUCCUAGGCCCUCUUUCUCCACUUUCUCCGUAGGCAUCUGUUCCCAUAUGUGGAGGUUUAAGUCAGCCUCUAUCUACAGAUGACCCUUGUCUGACCUCACUCUCUGGAAUGCUCUGCCUGCCUCUGUCUUUCAUGCCACAGCACAUCAACACUACCUUCUGUUGGCAUUCCUGACAGGAUUUCUUUCUCCUGAGCUCUUGAAAGAAUCCUGCUUCAGCAACUCUAGAGAAUGGUGGGAGAGUUGGUCUUUAAAAACAGAUUUAUCCCAUACCAAGGACAGGAAUCACUUAUUUUGCACCACUGUGUGCAUUGACUCUUCUUUUCUCCCAAUCCAUGAACAUAGUAUAGAUUCUUAGGUCCCCUUGACCCAGGAAUGCAGUUUCCCAUGCCUACAUAGGCCAAGUCCUUCUGUUCUCAGAGAUUCUAAUUACAUUAGCCUGUGUAUUUUCUUUAAAACGGUUAUCACAACCUAAAAUUACCUUGUUUAUUUGCUUACAUAUUCACUGUCUAUCUCUUCUAUCUAGAAAGUAAACUCCAUGAGAGCAGGGUCUUUUUUUUUUUUUUAAAGAAAAGUCUUUUUUAAAUUAUUUCUUUAUUUUUAGAGAGAGAGAGAGAGAGAGAGAGUGCACAUGAGCAAGGGAGAGAGGGAAAAUCUAAAGCAGGCUCCACACUCAGUGUGGAGACCAACUCUCAGGUCUCCAUCCCAUGACCCUGGGAUCAUGACCUGAGCCAAAAUCAAGAGUCAGACACUCAACCGACUGAGCCACUCAGGCGCCGUGAGAGCAGGGCCUUAUGUGUCUUCUCCCAGCAUCCAGAGUGACGCUUGUCCACAUAAUAGGUGCUCAUGGAAUAUUUGCCAACUGACUGACUUACAGAAUCAGUCAUUAAAACAUCAUACGAAAAUUAGCUUUCCAUUAACUCCUUCUAAGUGUCAUUUUCUUGUCUCUCUUGAACAAUGAUAUUGUCCAAAUGGAGCUAGUAUUGUGACCAAAUACCAAUCAACUAUGUUAGUGGCUUUUGAGAUUUGGGACCCCCUUUACACCCUUAAAAGUUGUUGAAGACCCAAAGAGCUAGUGUUCAUGUGAGUCAUAUCUGUCAUUAUUUAGUGUGAUAGAAAUGAAAACUGAGAAGAGUUCAAAAUAUUUAUUAAUUCAUUAAAAAUAAUAAACCCAUUAUAUGUUAACAUUCAUACCAUAUUUUUUUUGUUUCUCAAAUAAACAAAAUAACAGGGACAUGA